AUUCAGUCUCGCAGUUCUCUACAAGUCACUAUAUUACGUUAACAGAACUUACUGCUACGGUAUGACCCAAUUUAACAGGGAAACUCCCAGAAGCAUGAUCUAUUGUUGCUGCCACGUUUCUCUAGCUCAUCUCAUUAUGAACUCUUAUCAGCAUGAGAAGUUUCCACAGUAUGAGAGCGUGAGAUAAGGCUCGGGUUUAAAAUCAUUUUAGGCCUGGCCAUUGUGAUGAAAAAAAUUAACCUCUCCACUUAUCUUUCAGGAGCAAGAGAGGAAUCAUCUGAUGUAAAGGUAUGUUUUUGUAAGAAAUCGGCUUUGUUAUUGGUUGAACUUUUUAGCUACUCUGCUGUCAUUGGCUUACUCAUUUCAUGCUUCUCUCUCAUUGGCUCACAGGUCGCCAGGUCCAUAGCGACGACUGUUUGGGAUUACCGGAAAGCCGGGAGAGUCGCUGUUUACAUUUUAUGAGAUACCCCCAGGUCUCUGUUUACCUCAGACACUAUGAAUCCCUGCAGUGAUGUGUCCUUUUCAUAUUUUUUCUCCUUUUUUAUGUGUGGCCUCGGGCUAGUACAGAGGGAUUUAUCCACAGGAAGUUAAAUUACAGAUAAAAACAACAUGGAAAGAGGGCAUAUGUCUCUUCUGGCCCGCCUUAUGGGGCACAUCUUUUUCUGCAAGGCUAAUGUCAUCUUGAAGUUGGUAGAUCCUCUUGAGAUAUAGACGGCAGAGAGGACUUGAUGUGUUGAAUAUCUGAUGCCUUCCUCUUUCCCCGCUGUGGCCAUUACUCACCUCCUCGGAGAUGAUUGCAGAAGCCACAACAGACGCAAAAGAGACCGACACCGAAACACUGUUUAUCAUCUAGAGAGACAGGAUACUGCAGAAACCUUCACCGCCGAUUGUCUUCAUCUCUGUGUGUGGUGGAUCUUUCGUCUCUAUAUGUCGUUCUCCACCCCAGGAGGCUUUUCCUUCACCUCUCCGCUCCUCUGCAAUUAAGGCUGACAGGACAGCUUGCUCUAUUCCGCUGAUGCCAGUACUUAUCAAGACAGAGAGAGAGAGGGAGAGAGAGAGUUCAGGUAUGUUCAUCCAUCAGUCAAGGCCCCUUUUCAACCGCCCACCCUGUCUCCAUCCAUGCC
This 1124-nucleotide long non-coding RNA is filed under the name Danio rerio (zebrafish). RNAcentral's name for it is "lncRNA (ENSDARG00000117608.1)". The record is from RNAcentral. Lineage: Eukaryota; Metazoa; Chordata; Actinopteri; Cypriniformes; Danionidae.